This 498-nucleotide ribosomal RNA is filed under the name uncultured bacterium. RNAcentral describes it as "partial 16S ribosomal RNA". It matches the Rfam family "Bacterial small subunit ribosomal RNA", at positions 28 to 523 of the family's 1533-position model. The record is from RNAcentral.
GACGAACGCUGGCGGCGUGCCUAACACAUGCAAGUCGAGCGGAGUCAGUAAGAGGAAGUUUUCGGAUGGAAUCUUAUUGAUUUAGCGGCGGACGGGUGAGUAACGCGUGAGCGACCAACCUUGCACAGGGGGAUAACGGACCGAAAGGUUCACUAAUACCGCAUGAGACCACGGUGUUGCAUGACACAGGGGUCAAAGGAGCAAUCCGGUGCAAGACGGGCUCGCGUCCGAUUAGGUAGUUGGAGGGGUAACGGCCCACCAAGCCUAUGAUCGGUAGCCGACCUGAGAGGGUGAUCGGCCACAUUGAAACUGAGAUACGGUCCAAACUCCUACGGGAGGCAGCAGUGGGGAAUAUUGGGCAAUGGGGGAAACCCUGACCCAGCAACGCCGCGUGAAGGAAGAAGGUUUUCGGAUUGUAAACUUCUGUCCUUGGUGAAGAGAAGAAGACGGUAGCCAAGGAGGAAGCCCCGGCUAACUACGUGCCAGCAGCCGCCGCCG